GGUAAGAGAGGUGAAGGGAGCGGCGGCAAUGCGUUGGGCGAAAGGGUUGGCGGGAAUGGUUGGGCGUGAUGAGCUGGUGUGGGGGUGUGGGGUCUGUCGUGAAAGCCCACGGGUUAACCGUGGGGCUGCGGUGGAUACGGGCAGACUAGAGGCAGGUAGGGGAGAAUGGAAUUCCCGGUGUAGCGGUGAAAUGCGCAGAUAUCGGGAGGAACACCGGUGGCGAAGGCGGUUCUCUGGGCCUGUACUGACGCUGAGGAGCGAAAGCGUGGGGAGCGAACAGGAUUAGAUACCCCAGUAGUC
RNAcentral lists this ribosomal RNA (300 nucleotides) under uncultured Thermococcus sp. RNAcentral describes it as "bacterial SSU rRNA". The stretch from base 53 to 300 matches the Rfam family "Bacterial small subunit ribosomal RNA", at positions 547 to 795 of the family's 1533-position model. The record is from RNAcentral. Lineage: Archaea; Methanobacteriati; Methanobacteriota; Thermococci; Thermococcales; Thermococcaceae.